CCCUAUGGGGUGCAGCAGCUGAGGAACUUUUACAAUGCUCGAAAGAGUGAUAAAAUGAACCAGAGUGUUACUCUCAUGAGUAACUUUUGUUUGCUGUAAAAAGGCAGACGAAUAAGGACUGGGCAAGACCGGUGCCAGCCGCCGCGGUAAUACCGGCGGUCCGAGUCGCAUCCACAUUUAUUGGGUCUAAAACAUCCGUAGCUUGUUUUGUAAGUCUCUUGUGAAAUCCCAAGUCUCAAGCUUGGGGCGUGCAAGAGAUACUGCAUUGCUUUGAGACCGGAAGACGUAAGGAGUAUGAUUGAGGUAGCGGUAAAAUGUGUUAAUCUUGAUCAGACUAACAAUGGCGAAGGCACCUUACGAGUACGGAUCUGACAGUCAGGGAUGAAGGCUAGGGGCGCGAAAGGGAUUAGAUACCCCUGUAGUCCUAGCAGUAAACACUGCUCACUAAACAUCGGUACCUCCUCGAGAGGUGUCGGUGCUGUAGAGAAGUCGAAGAGUGAGCUACCUGGGAAGUAUAGUCGCAAGGCCGAAACUUAAAGGAAUUGGCGGGGAGGCACUACAACGGGUGACGCGUGCGGUUUAAUUAGAGUCUACACCGUGAAUCUCACCAGGAGCGACAGCAGAAUGAAGGUCAGUCUAAAGGGCUUACCUGACACGCUGAGAGGAAGUGCAUGG
RNAcentral lists this ribosomal RNA (675 nucleotides) under uncultured euryarchaeote. RNAcentral's name for it is "bacterial SSU rRNA". It matches the Rfam family "Archaeal small subunit ribosomal RNA", at positions 321 to 997 of the family's 1478-position model. Lineage: Archaea; Methanobacteriati; Methanobacteriota. The record is from RNAcentral.